UACGGAGGGGGCUAGCGUUGUUCGGAAUUACUGGGCGUAAAGCGCACGUAGGCGGCUUUGUAAGUUAGAGGUGAAAGCCCGGGGCUCAACUCCGGAAUUGCCUUUAAAACUGCAUCGCUAGAAUUGUGGAGAGGUAAGUGGAAUUCCGAGUGUAGAGGUGAAAUUCGUAGAUAUUCGGAAGAACACCAGUGGCGAAGGCGACUUACUGGACACAUAUUGACGCUGAGGUGCAAAAGCGUGGGGAGCAAACAGG
RNAcentral lists this ribosomal RNA (253 nucleotides) under uncultured bacterium. RNAcentral describes it as "partial 16S ribosomal RNA". It matches the Rfam family "Bacterial small subunit ribosomal RNA", at positions 524 to 776 of the family's 1533-position model. The record is from RNAcentral.